RNAcentral lists this long non-coding RNA (776 nucleotides) under Zea mays. RNAcentral describes it as "long non-coding RNA (ZMAY_LNC004140)". The record is from RNAcentral. Lineage: Eukaryota; Viridiplantae; Streptophyta; Magnoliopsida; Poales; Poaceae.
UGUACUACAGCAGUGUAGCCUGUUCAGAUUUGAGCUUGUUCGGCCAUUAGUAGUGUUUAGAAACCUAACAAAGUGAUUCUGUGUUGAUGUCACACACUUGACACCUGGAGUGGUAUCACCUGUAAGAAGAGGGUACCAGUUAUUUCGUCGUGAUCCAGCAAGUCACAAUAUGUUCUGAAACAAAGUAGCUAGAGCAGUAGAGCACACAUGUGAGUUCAAGCAAACAGAAUUAUCACGAGACAUACCCUAUGGUGGUGGGGUUGAUUCAACAAUAAGAAUAGUAUUAGAUGCAUGCACUAAAAUGAAACUGCAAUUUAAAGCUCCUUGCAAACUCUACAAAUGUUCUGAAACGAUGGAUAGCAAGUGCAUAUGCUAACUUACCAAAAGAUGAUAAGGAAAUAUUUUUCUCAAAUAUGCAUGAGAGCAGCAAGUGCCCUCAUAUUGGAUAUGAGUGCUAUUCAUAACAAUUAUCACCAAAAACUUGACAGGUUUUCUCCUUUUAAUUAUUGGACCACAAUGGAAAGAAGAAUACUCUAGAAUUUUUUUCUCCUUUGGAUGGAAUUAGAAUAUUCACACAAAAAAAACUUAGAAAAGGCCUCCAAACAAAUAUUGCAAUUAAGACGAACAAAUAAUGUUACCUUUUCAGCCACUUUGGUCUGCCAGGCUUCUUAUUUGUUGUUGUUGGUACAGGAACAGAUUGAGAUGCAUCAGAUUGAAGAGAAGAAGAGUUCAUUCUAGAAUCAUCAGGUUGACUAGCAGGUUUCAGCAGAAGUGAC